GUCGAACGGUGAAGCCCAGCUUGCUGGGUGGAUCAGUGGCGAACGGGUGAGUAACACGUGAGCAACCUGCCCUCCACUUCGGGAUAAGCCUUGGAAACGGGGUCUAAUACCGGAUAUGAGCACUCAUCGCAUGGUGGGUGUUGGAAAGUUUUUCGGUGGGGGAUGGGCUCGCGGCCUAUCAGCUUGUUGGUGGGGUGAUGGCCUACCAAGGCGUCGACGGGUAGCCGGCCUGAGAGGGCGACCGGCCACACUGGGACUGAGACACGGCCCAGACUCCUACGGGAGGCAGCAGUGGGGAAUAUUGCACAAUGGGCGCAAGCCUGAUGCAGCGACGCCGCGUGAGGGAUGACGGCCUUCGGGUUGUAAACCUCUUUCAGCAGGGAAGAAGCGCAAGUGACGGUACCUGCAGAAGAAGCGCCGGCUAACUACGUGCCAGCAGCCGCGGUAAUACGUAGGGCGCAAGCGUUGUCCGGAAUUAUUGGGCGUAAAGAGCUCGUAGGCGGUCUGUCGCGUCUGGUGUGAAAUCCCGAGGCUCAACCUCGGGCUUGCAUCGGGUACGGGCAGACUAGAGUGCGGUAGGGGAGACUGGAAUUCCUGGUGUAGCGGUGGAAUGCGCAGAUAUCAGGAGGAACACCGAUGGCGAAGGCAGGUCUCUGGGCCGCAACUGACGCUGAGGAGCGAAAGCAUGGGGAGCGAACAGGAUUAGAUACCCUGGUAGUCCAUGCCGUAAACGUUGGGCACUAGGUGUGGGGCUCAUUCCACGAGUUCCGUGCCGCAGCUAACGCAUUAAGUGCCCCGCCUGGGGAGUACGGCCGCAAGGCUAAAACUCAAAGGAAUUGACGGGGGCCCGCACAAGCGGCGGAGCAUGCGGAUUAAUUCGAUGCAACGCGAAGAACCUUACCAAGGCUUGACAUGUACGAGAACACGCUAGAGAUAGCGGACUCUUUGGACACUCGUAUACAGGUGGUGCAUGGUUGUCGUCAGCUCGUGUCGUGAGAUGUUGGGUUAAGUCCCGCAACGAGCGCAACCCUCGUCCUAUGUUGCCAGCGGGUUAUGCCGGGGACUCAUGGGAGACUGCCGGGGUCAACUCGGAGGAAGGUGGGGAUGACGUCAAAUCAUCAUGCCCCUUAUGUCUUGGGCUUCCGCAUGCU
This 1151-nucleotide ribosomal RNA is filed under the name Krasilnikoviella sp. RNAcentral's name for it is "bacterial SSU rRNA". It matches the Rfam family "Bacterial small subunit ribosomal RNA", at positions 61 to 1226 of the family's 1533-position model. The record is from RNAcentral. Lineage: Bacteria; Bacillati; Actinomycetota; Actinomycetes; Micrococcales; Promicromonosporaceae.